This 118-nucleotide small nuclear RNA is filed under the name Crocodylus porosus (Australian saltwater crocodile). RNAcentral describes it as "U2 spliceosomal RNA (ENSCPRG00005009510.1)". It matches the Rfam family "U2 spliceosomal RNA", at positions 67 to 185 of the family's 192-position model. From Rfam's summary of the family: U2 is a small nuclear RNA (snRNA) component of the spliceosome (involved in pre-mRNA splicing). Complementary binding between U2 snRNA (in an area lying towards the 5' end but 3' to hairpin I) and the branchpoint sequence (BPS) of the intron results the bulging out of an unpaired adenosine, on the BPS, which initiates a nucleophilic attack at the intronic 5' splice site, thus starting the first of two transesterification reactions that mediate splicing. The record is from RNAcentral. Lineage: Eukaryota; Metazoa; Chordata; Crocodylia; Crocodylidae.
UGUCCUCCAUCGGAGGUCUAUAUUGAGCAGAUUCUUUUUGGUGUUGGGUGGUGGAACUGGAGCUUGCUCCAUCCACUCCAUGCAUCGGCCUGGUAUAACAUGCUUCCAGGACCGGUGC